GACGAACGCUGGCGGCGUGCUUAACACAUGCAAGUCGAACGGAAAGGCCCUGCUUUUGUGGGGUGCUCGAGUGGCGAACGGGUGAGUAACACGUGAGUAACCUGCCCUUGACUUUGGGAUAACUUCAGGAAACUGGGGCUAAUACCGGAUAGGAGCUCCUGCUGCAUGGUGGGGGUUGGAAAGUUUCGGCGGUUGGGGAUGGACUCGCGGCUUAUCAGCUUGUUGGUGGGGUAGUGGCUUACCAAGGCUUUGACGGGUAGCCGGCCCGAGAGGGUGACCGGCCACAUUGGGACUGAGAUACGGCCCAGACUCCUACGGGAGGCAGCAGUGGGGAAUAUUGCACAAUGGGCGGAAGCCUGAUGCAGCAACGCCGCGUGCGGGAUGACGGCCUUCGGGUUGUAAACCGCUUUCGCCUGUGACGAAGCGUGAGUGACGGUAAUGGGGAAAGAAGCACCGGCUAACUACGU
This 467-nucleotide ribosomal RNA is filed under the name uncultured bacterium. RNAcentral describes it as "partial 16S ribosomal RNA". It matches the Rfam family "Bacterial small subunit ribosomal RNA", at positions 28 to 506 of the family's 1533-position model. The record is from RNAcentral.